RNAcentral lists this long non-coding RNA (729 nucleotides) under Mustela putorius furo (domestic ferret). RNAcentral's name for it is "lncRNA (ENSMPUG00000026882.1)". Lineage: Eukaryota; Metazoa; Chordata; Mammalia; Carnivora; Mustelidae. The record is from RNAcentral.
CUGGUGAAUAAGUAAAGCCCAGAUUCUUCUAAAACACUGUGAUCAGAAAAUGAAAGUGCAGGAUGAAAAACUAUGACUUUGUCCUUCCCCCCAAAAUCAUCUCCCUAAAAGAAACCACAUCCUUGCCAAACUGUAACAGAGCAAAACCCUAUCAGAACCAGCAAAGCAGCGGGCUCAAGUAUGAAUCUGGAUUUAUCAAAUAAUGUUUCUCAGACCACGAGCUUUACAAUCAUCUGUGGAUUCACUGAAAUGCAGAUUUCAAGGCCCAAUGAGCAUCAAAGGUAUUCUAGUUUCUGGGGCAGGGUCAGCUUUAACCAGCACUCCCAGGUGAUGUUCACUCAGAGUCAAUCAGAAGAAUCUCUAAGAAAAAGAAACCAGUUCCCUUUUCUCCUAUUUAUCACAUUACAGAAAUGGUCAUAAAAAUAAACAAAAUAUUCCACACCUAAUCUCAUAGCUUCUGGACAGAUUAAUAUAAGAGAAAAAAAUUUUGAAGGGGAGAUCGAUUUAUUAAAGUCAAUUUUGAUAAUUAGCAAAAUUUGAUAGGCAGAUAAUAAAAGUCACAUAAAAAAUAGAAAGAUUUAUGUUCACUUUGAAUAUAUUUUUAUAGUCAUCUCUGCUAUAACUAUUACUUCAUAAACACAUUUAAGUAUGGAGUUUUCAAACACAUUUCUUUAAAAAAAAAUCAACUUAAAAGACAAAACAAAACCAAAAUCAAAAAUCCAAGUUAGU